Molecule: unclassified non-coding RNA, 333 nt
Filed under: soil metagenome
Description: partial contains 5.8S ribosomal RNA, internal transcribed spacer 2, and large subunit ribosomal RNA
Rfam family: 5.8S ribosomal RNA (bases 1-120)
Source: RNAcentral
GAUGAAGAACGCAGCGAAAUGCGAUAAGUAGUGUGAAUUGCAAAAUUCAGUGAAUCAUCGAAUCUUUGAACGCACAUUGCGCCCCUCGGUAUUCCGUGGGGCAUGCCUGUUCGAGCGUCAUUUACCCCUCAAGCACUGCUUGGUGUUGGGCGUCUGUCCCGCUUCGCGCGCGGACUCGCCCCAAAGGUAUUGGCAGCGGUCGUGCCAGCUUCUCGCGCAGCACAUUGCGCUUCUCGAGGCGGUCGAUCGGCGUCCACGAAGCUCACCUCCACCGUUUGACCUCGGAUCAGGUAGGGAUACCCGCUGAACUUAAGCAUAUCAAUAAGCGGAGGA